UACGUAGGGUGCAAGCGUUAAUCGGAAUUACUGGGCGUAAAGCGUGCGCAGGCGGUUUUGUAAGUCUGUCGUGAAAUCCCCGGGCUCAACCUGGGAAUUGCGAUGGAGACUGCAAGGCUAGAAUCUGGCAGAGGGGGGUAGAAUUCCACGUGUGAGCAGUGAAAUGCGUAGAGAUGUGGAGGAACACCGAUGGCGAAGGCAGCCCCCUGGGUCAAGAUUGACGCUCAUGCACGAAAGCGUGGGGAGCAAACAG
This 253-nucleotide ribosomal RNA is filed under the name uncultured bacterium. Its description in RNAcentral is "partial 16S ribosomal RNA". It matches the Rfam family "Bacterial small subunit ribosomal RNA", at positions 524 to 775 of the family's 1533-position model. The record is from RNAcentral.